Non-coding RNA from Peptoniphilus lacrimalis 315-B, 230 nucleotides. The record is from Rfam. NCBI's taxonomy places the organism in Bacteria, Bacillati, Bacillota, Tissierellia, Tissierellales, Peptoniphilaceae.
AUAAACUUGAUAAAGAGAAGAGUAGUUAAGUCUUUGGGAUUAAAGAGAGCUUCGUUUUGGUGAAAGAAGAUAAACAAAACUUAAUGAACAUGGCCUCUUUGAAGGAAGGUUCGAUAAUUAGAGCCUGACGGGAACUCCCGUUAUAGAGUCAGGGUAUGAUUGUACCUAGUGAGUUUAUAUGCGUGAGCAUAUAUUAAAUAAAGGUGGUAACACGAGCUUUCGUCCUUUUA